AUAUAUGUAUUUAAAGUUCUGCACGGCUAUGAAAUCCAAUGUCCUGGUACAGUUCAUUGGAAUGUGCGUGCAAAGGAUUUUUGCAUUUUGGAGUUGAAAUAUAUCUGUCUCUAUGAUGAUGUAAAGGCAAACACCACAGAGAGCUGUAGUGGGCCUUUGGCAACUAUUGCAAAAGGUAAAAGAAUAUUUUUAAUACCAUUUGAAUAUGUGAUUGGGUUUGUUUGACACUAACGCCUACCAUUUUGUUUUAUUGUAUAUAUCGUUUUUAUUAUCAUAACCUUUAAAGCCAUACAUGUUACAAUAUAUUAAUUAUCGUUAAUAUAAAAAUCAUUUACAGGAACAUCAGUAAAUCCCAAAACUACAAAUACUAUGAUACAAUCAAAGUUAAUACUUGUUAAUUAGUUUUGCGUUCGAUCCCAAAACUAAACAACGACCGAGCAAUACAGGUUAACAAAACACAACCUCAUUAGUCAUCAUUAUAGAAAUAGUUUAAUUGUGUAUGCAUAUUGCAUCAGGUUUAUCAUAUACGGUAAAACUUCGUGAAAAUGAUGUACUUAUGUCUCAUCUAUUUUUACUAAAUUAAAAAAAAAUAAACCAAAGUAAAUAUCAGGCUUCCCAAAUACUAAUAAAUGUACACAACAAACGAAGCUGGUUUCAACUGUGUUCCAUUUUUGAAGAGCUGCACUGAAUUAUAAAAAAUAUGGACAACAACUUAUCAGCAAAAUUAUUAUAUAAAUGAAAUUCUUAUAUUACAAACAACCGUAAAAAGUUGUAUUACGUCCAAUGAAUCAAAAUUAAUUAAUAUAUUUUAAGUUGACAAUUUUGUAAUACAAUACAAUACAAUAUGCUUUAUUUUAGAAACACUCAGUCACAUUGACAUGUGAAACAAAGGUAAAUUACACAAUACAAUCACAUACAAUAAAGAAAUAAAUGAAAAACUUAGAAAGAAUACAUGGAUAUAGAAAUUACUUUACCUUAUAUUAAAUUUUUAAUAUCAGAAUAUUUUAGUAACUUUGAAAUGAAAAAAAUUUUUAAGUACGUUAAUAUUAGUCAAUGACAGUAGUCCUUUCAUUUUGCUUCACUCGAUAUUUACAUAGUACUCUGAAUAUGCUGAUUUCUGAUAUUUUUUACCUAAUAAAGAAUUACAUUCAAAUAAAUAAGUGGUAUUUCAUUGCCCAAUUGCAGUAAAACACAAAUACAGUGUCCCUCUCUUCUUUGGAAUGUUAUACACCAUCUCCCCAACUCUACUGGAAUUUUUGACCUUGCAACGCAUCUUAAUUUUGAAAUAUAUUAACGGUUCGAAUGGUGUUAAUUCUUAAAGAGAGAGUUUUCCUAGUCCAGGAUUGUUUUAAAGAAGUCGCAACAAUUCUCCUCUGGAUAGUUGUUCAAUUUGACUAUGCCACUGUUGAAUGCAUGAAUCUUUUAGUUUUCCUUUCAAGUAGAUUGUUUUAGUUGAUAUAUAUCUAAUGGUGAUUCGAGUCCAAACAUAGCUUAGCCGGCAUUGUCUAGGUCGAUUUUAAUAUAAUCCAUCACCAUUUGGAAAGUGUGAAUCAUCUUUUAAUUUUGAACAUAAUUGAUAAAGUAUCUGCUCAGUUUAUUUUCGUUGUGAGCAAGUUUGGUUUCCAAAAACAGCACGCUAUUCUCAUUUUAUUACGGUAUCUAUUGGUGAACGACAAGUUCUCAUAUGUCCAUAAAAUUUGGUGUCGCGACUCUAAUUUCAACUACAUUCCGGAAACGCAAAUGGACUUUUUCCAACAUGCUAAUUAUUUCCAAAUCCCCAAUCUCAACAUCCAUAUGUCCACGAAUUGGAAAGUACAAGUGCACACAAACAGUUGUAAUUGUAAGUCGACAGUAUAGAGAGAUUACGUAUCUUUUGAUAGAGACUAAAAAGAGCUUUCUGGCUUGUUCGCUAAGAUCGUUUCUUCGGCUGUUUGGCAAAUGAAACCAUUGUAAUAAAGUUUAGUCCUAAUAUGCGGAUAGAAUCUUGCAAUUUCAAAGACUGUAAAUCAUUUGAAACUUUGUAAUUUCUUGAUUUCCGUUUGCAAAACACAACAACCUUUGGUCUUGCGAUUAAUAACAUUUAACUUUCCAUCGGACACAGUAUCUUUCAAAAACAUUAAGCGCGUGUUGCAUGAUUCGCUGUUUCAGAUAUAAUAUAGUGUCAUCGCGUACAAAAGAAACGAAAAAGUUUACAUAGUAUAUAUGCAAAUGAUCUGUGCAAAUGUUCUUCGAUAAACCUUCAAGUUCUUGAACAUCAUUCCAUUCAAAGAAAGACUCCAGAUUUCGUUAGAUAAACAGCAAAUAAAAAGGGGAUAAGUUUUCUCCCUGUCUCACCUCCGAUUCUACAGUUAAAAACGGCUGACACUUCGUUCCAUUCCUUAAACGCAAAUUUAACAAUCACAUACAUACUUAUAUUACUUUAAAAAUUUUCCCAGAAAUAUUGCCUUUGUAUAUUUUAUCCCAUAAAGAUGUAUGAGAGAUUGGCAUCCAAAGCUCUCGAAAAAUCAAACAAAAGUGCAAAGAGUUUCUUUUCCAAGUGCCUUGAUAAAUCGAUAUUAAUGAAUGUAAUACAAAUAUUCUAUCCAAUGUACUAUAUCCUUUUCGAAACCUGUUGAGCCUCGGAAAAUCAGAUUGACCUCAGUUGACAGUUUCGCCCAAGUCUGUUUCAUUUAAAGAUAGAUGUGAAAGUUUUCCCAAUACAUGAUCACUAAUUGUUAUUGGUCUCUGUACGAAAAUAGGAUCAUAUAUAUUGCCUUUAUUCUUGAAGAUAGGUGAAUAAUUCCAUUGUCCAUGAAUUGGUACCUUCCCGGUAUUAAAAAACAAGUUGAAUAAAGCUUGUGAUAGAUGGUUCAACAUUUCCUUAACCGUAUGUUUAAUAUGUUUUCAUUCAACAAUACCAUCAUAUCCGGAUAGCCUUAUGUUUUACAGUUUUUCGACGACAUUCAGAUUUUUCUUCUGUAUUGGAGAAUUUCAAAAUUCUGUUAAUGUUUCUCUGCGUGGACCUUUGAUAAAUCUAGUCUGAGUUGUCUCGAUGACUUCAAUCUUGGCUUUAGACGUUUGAAAUGUUCAUAUAAGCUCUUCAAUUUUAGCAGCAUCAGUUUUUAUUUGAAUUGUUGGUAUUCAAUACUAUUAAUGUUUGCCAUAGCCGUGUUUGGAGUCAGGAUUUAGCCAGUUUUCUAUAGAUCUUUUGCGGUAUUUCCAUUUGGAAAUCAUUUAUAACGUCCGUUUUAGUUCUUUUUUAUACGAUUUACUUGCUUCUUGUAAAUAUUUAUCAAGGGUACCAGAUUAAUAAUUAGAUACGCCAGACGUACGUUUCGUCUUUCAGUGACGCUUAGAUAAAACAUUUAGUAAGCCACAGCUGAGAGAAUUGCAUAACAACAGAAAUGUGGUAUUCAAUGUGUGCGGUAAUUUUUGAAACGGACACACAAACAUAUAUACCGCUUCCUCAAACCUUCGAAAUUAAACUAAAUUAUUAACCAACAUUUAACAAAAAAACAUAAUAUAAAAUUAUACAUUUCAAUCCUACAAUUGUCCAGAAAUAACCGGAUAAUCACAUAAACAGUUGAGAAAAAAACAUCAAACACUUGCAAAGUGAUUUGUGUUUGUACUGGCAGACAAAUCAGCCAGCUAUAUGGUUGUGGUACGAAGUAAAUACUACACGGAUGCCCUGGAGAAUAAAAUCAUGCAUUUAUCUACAUUAACUACGCUCCACAGAGUCAUAUAGUAAUAAUCAUUUCCCGACCAAAGCUCAUCAGCUAAAGGCCUCUUCUGUUAAAAGGCCAACGCUAUGUAUGGGUUAUCUCAACUAAUAGUUAUCAAAGUACCAGGAUUAUAAUUUACCUCAACUAAAAAAAGUGUCCUAAUACUAAUAUAUUCUGUCUGUGCUCUUAACGCGAUACGUAAGCAAUGAUCAAAUAACUGCUUUUACUUUUACCCUAUUUAUACCUAUUAUACUAUACACUUCCACAUCAUCUUAUCUCAAUAAAUUUCUCCUAUUUUAGUUAAUGGUCUUAUGCUUAAUCUGAUACCAAAAUAAACUCAUUUAAUAUAGAUACCAAGAUUAAAUUUUGUAUUUACGCCAGACGAUCGUUUAGUCUACAAAAGACUCAUCAGUGAUGCCUAAAUCCAAAAAAGACAAAAAGGCCAAAUAAAGUACGAAGUUGAAGUGCAUUAAGGACCAAAAGUCCUUAAAAAAAUUGCAAAAUACAGCUAAGAUAAUUUAUUCCAGAGGUAGAAAAGCCUAAGUAUUAAAAAUUCAAAUGUUUUAUAAUCAGUUAAUUUAUAUUGAUAAUUUAUGACAAAUUUGUUUGCUGCAAAGUAUGAACAAAUUGUAUCAUUUUUAUUUUAGACUCCCAUACCAAAAAGUUAAAUCACAAAAAUACUGAAUUCCGAGGAAAAAGCAAAACGGAAAGGCCCGAAUUAAAUGGCAUCAAACGAAUGGACAACAACUGUCAUAUUCCUGACUUGGUACAGGCAUUUUCAAAUGUAGAUAUUGGUGGAUUAAACCUGGUUUUAUAGCGCUAAAACUCUCACUUGUAUGACAGUCGCAUUAAAUUUCGUAGUAUUUACAACGAUGCGUGAAAAAAACAGACACAACAGGCAAAAUAGUCAAAACAUGGACUAGCCAUUUCCAUCAAAGAAAGACUCCAGAUCGUUUUGUAGAUAAUACAGCAAAUAAAAAGGGGGAUAAGUUUUCCCUGCUCACGUCCGAGUUAAGUAAAAACGGCGACACUUCGUUCCCAUUCCUUACGCAAUGAUUUAAACAUCACUAUACAUACUAUAUAUUACGUUUAAAAAUUUUUCCUCAGAAAAUUCGCCUUUUGUAAUUUUACAUCAUAAAGAUGUUGAGCGAUUGCAUCAAAGGCUCUCGAAAAUCAAAAAAGUGCAAAAGAGUUUUUUCCAAGUGUUGAUAAAUGAUAUUAAGGAUAUGUAAUACAAAUAUUUAUCCAAUGUCUAUAUCCUUUUCUGAAAAACUGUUUGAGCCUCGGAAUCAGAUUGACCUCAGUUGACAGUUCCCCAGUCUUUCAUUAAGAAUGAUGUGAAAGUUUUCCAAACAAUGAUACUAAGUAUUUGUCGUACGCAACUAGGCAUCAUAGAUAUUGCCUUAUUGCUUGAAGAUAGGUUGAAUAAUUCCCAUUGUCCCAUGAAUCUGGUACGCGUUGCCCGCUAUUUAAAACAAUGUGAAUAACUUGUGAUAGAUGCGUCAACAUUUCUUAACCGUAUGUUUAAUAUGUUCAUUCAACAAGUACCUAGUCAUAUCCGAAGCCUCUAUUGUUUUUAAGUUUUUGACGACAUUUCAAGAUUCUUUUCUGUGAUUGGAGAUUUAAAAUUCUGGUUAAUGUUCUCGCUGUGGUACCUUUGAUAAAUAUAAUGUCUGAGUUGUCUCGAUGACUUCAUCUUGCUUAGAACGGUUUUGAAAUGUUCAUAUAGGUCUUCAAAUUUAGCAGCAUCAGUUUUAUUUUGAUUUGUUGGUAUUAUACUAUUAAUUUUCCAUAAGCCGUUUUGGUCCAGAUUUAGCCCAGUUUUCUCUAAGAUCUUUUGCGGUAUUCAUUUGGAAAUCAUUAUAACUCCGAUUUAGUUCUUUUUUAUACGAUUUACUUGCUUCUUGUAAAUAUUUAUCAAGGGUACCAGAUUAAUAAUUAGAUACGCCAGACGUACGUUUCGUCUUUCAGUGACGCUUAGAUAAAACAUUUAGUAAGCCACAGCUGAGAGAAUUGCAUAACAACAGAAAUGUGGUAUUCAAUGUGUGCGGUAAUUUUUGAAACGGACACACAAACAUAUAUACCGCUUCCUCAAACCUUCGAAAUUAAACUAAAUUAUUAACCAACAUUUAACAAAAAAACAUAAUAUAAAAUUAUACAUUUCAAUCCUACAAUUGUCCAGAAAUAACCGGAUAAUCACAUAAACAGUUGAGAAAAAAACAUCAAACACUUGCAAAGUGAUUUGUGUUUGUACUGGCAGACAAAUCAGCCAGCUAUAUGGUUGUGGUACGAAGUAAAUACUACACGGAUGCCCUGGAGAAUAAAAUCAUGCAUUUAUCUACAUUAACUACGCUCCACAGAGUCAUAUAGUAAUAAUCAUUUCCCGACCAAAGCUCAUCAGCUAAAGGCCUCUUCUGUUAAAAGGCCAACGCUAUGUAUGGGUUAUCUCAACUAAUAGUUAUCAAAGUACCAGGAUUAUAAUUUACCUCAACUAAAAAAAGUGUCCUAAUACUAAUAUAUUCUGUCUGUGCUCUUAACGCGAUACGUAAGCAAUGAUCAAAUAACUGCUUUUACUUUUACCCUAUUUAUACCUAUUAUACUAUACACUUCCACAUCAUCUUAUCUCAAUAAAUUUCUCCUAUUUUAGUUAAUGGUCUUAUGCUUAAUCUGAUACCAAAAUAAACUCAUUUAAUAUAGAUACCAAGAUUAAAUUUUGUAUUUACGCCAGACGAUCGUUUAGUCUACAAAAGACUCAUCAGUGAUGCCUAAAUCCAAAAAAGACAAAAAGGCCAAAUAAAGUACGAAGUUGAAGUGCAUUAAGGACCAAAAGUCCUUAAAAAAAUUGCAAAAUACAGCUAAGAUAAUUUAUUCCAGAGGUAGAAAAGCCUAAGUAUUAAAAAUUCAAAUGUUUUAUAAUCAGUUAAUUUAUAUUGAUAAUUUAUGACAAAUUUGUUUGCUGCAAAGUAUGAACAAAUUGUAUCAUUUUUAUUUUAGACUCCCAUACCAAAAAGUUAAAUCACAAAAAUACUGAAUUCCGAGGAAAAAGCAAAACGGAAAGGCCCGAAUUAAAUGGCAUCAAACGAAUGGACAACAACUGUCAUAUUCCUGACUUGGUACAGGCAUUUUCAAAUGUAGAUAUUGGUGGAUUAAACCUGGUUUUAUAGCGCUAAAACUCUCACUUGUAUGACAGUCGCAUUAAAUUUCGUAGUAUUUACAACGAUGCGUGAAAAAAACAGACACAACAGCAAAAUAGUUCAAACAUUGGACUCAGCAGUGCAAGACUUGUCACAAGUCUGAAAACAAGAAAAUAUUGAUACAAAAAAUACAAAAAGCAAUCUAUCAAAUUAAAAAACCACGCAUUACACCUAAUUCAAUGUAAAUUGAUACAUUCCAACAACAAUUACGUUAGUCUCUAUGUAGGUCAGUGGUUGUCGCUGGUUUACCAUCUGCCCAUAUUUUUUUUUUCGCAACUGUUUAGUUCACAGAUUAGGUGUCCAAUCAAUAUUUCCAAAUUAAUUUUUCAUGUAUGGCUCUAAAACCCACUUCACGUACAUUUUGUUCCUUCUUGUUGAAACCGUAUGAUCGCAUAUUUUUGCUUACACCCACUUUGAUGAAGUUUGGUGGAAAGUUUGCUCAUAAUUAAUCAUACCACACCUUUAUAUAAUAUUAAAAAUUGACGACUUGCAGACUUUCUCAUUUAUCUUAUAUUGAUACGUCUUUCAAACAAACUCUUUUUAAAUUCAGGCUAUAAAUGGGUAAUUAGAGGAAACCCUGAUAGAGGUGAAUGUUCACUAGGUACAUACCAGCCUUAUGAACAUAGAAAUGUGAAAGCAAGUGCCUGUGUAUAUCAGAAGUCCCUUUGCAGUGAAGAAGGGCAAGUUGUAUUUGACAUGGGUAACACCAUCGAUGACCAAAAAUGUCGCUGCGAUUAUACAAGAGGAUACGAUUUUGUCGGAAAGCCAGGGAAUCGCUGUUAUUGUUACCCAUCAACGGAAGAUUGCUCCUGUUUCCUACGACGGUGUGAUAUCACAGGAGUCCGAUUGUCACAAG
This 7751-nucleotide long non-coding RNA is filed under the name Mytilus galloprovincialis (Mediterranean mussel). Lineage: Eukaryota; Metazoa; Mollusca; Bivalvia; Mytilida; Mytilidae. The record is from RNAcentral.